ACCACACACGCCGGCGUCCGAUCCCCAGCUCCAAGAAGCCCCCGGAAUCACACGCGGCCGGCGGAAAGCGAAACCCCCGAUGAGGCCGCGGCCGCGCCUGCCAACCCACGAUUACAUCUCCGUUGCCGUUGGCUGGCAGAGAGCAGACUCAGCAGAGCAGAGACCGAGCAGGGCGCGCGCUCGGCUCGGCGGCAGCCUGCCUCGAACACUUUCGAACUCCGGCGACUCCUCAGCCGCCGGCAGGCCGCAACGGCGACCCACGGCCACACGGCCAUCCAGACCUUUGCCUAAGGGUGAUGAGGAACCCCAUGAAGAGCUGAAGAGAACGGUAUCUUUGCGCGACAGGAACAUCAGUAAACUUCAGGCGAAAGGAACAUCAGUAAACUUCAGGUGCCUCCCUCAGGGGUACAUUCAAGCUGCUUUCCAUUGUUUGCCACCCAAGUCCAGAGUUGUUGCUUUGCAUCAUUGUGACAAACUCAGAAUAGUUGGUCUGGCCAUCCUGAAAAUUUACAGAAAGAGAAGUUUACACACCAGAUUUUUCACCAGGGA
Long non-coding RNA from Panicum hallii, 549 nucleotides. RefSeq lists it as uncharacterized. NCBI's taxonomy places the organism in Eukaryota, Viridiplantae, Streptophyta, Magnoliopsida, Poales, Poaceae. The record is from RefSeq and is a predicted model, not a curated record. The transcript has 2 exons.